UGGUUCCUGCUGCUCAUCGUGAAAUUGAAUCCCUCCUUUUCACUCAUGGUGCUGCGUUUAGUGAAUUUGAAUGGGAGGCUGGCUUGCUACUUAUGUUGCGACAAAGAUAUUUCCUGACCUACGAGGCCCUGCUCUUUGUUUCUCAGUCCAUCCAUGAGCAUUAUUCAAGAAAUAUGGCCAUCGUUCAGGAAAAAUUUGCUGCCCUAUUUAUAUCUACUGAAGGAACUGGUAGUACCGAGUUUAAAGCAGCUUUCCUGUAAAUCAUUUUUGU
This 271-nucleotide long non-coding RNA is filed under the name Daphnia pulex (common water flea). RNAcentral's name for it is "uncharacterized LOC124189986". Lineage: Eukaryota; Metazoa; Arthropoda; Branchiopoda; Diplostraca; Daphniidae. The record is from RNAcentral.